Molecule: ribosomal RNA, 274 nt
Filed under: uncultured bacterium
Lineage: Bacteria
Description: partial 16S ribosomal RNA
Rfam family: Bacterial small subunit ribosomal RNA
Source: RNAcentral
AUACGGAGGGUCCGAGCGUUAUCCGGAAUUAUUGGGUUUAAAGGGUCCGUAGGCGGGCGAUUAAGUCAGUGGUGAAAGUCUGCAGCUCAACUGUAGAAUUGCCUUUGAUACUGAUUGUCUUGAGUUAUAGUGAAGUUGCCGGAAUAUGUAGUGUAGCGGUGAAAUGCAUAGAUAUUACAUAGAACACCGAUUGCGAAGGCAGGUGACUAACUGUAUACUGACGCUGAUGGACGAAAGCGUGGGGAGCGAACAGGAUUAGAUACCCUAGUAGUCC